Non-coding RNA from Corchorus olitorius, 120 nucleotides. The record is from Rfam. NCBI's taxonomy places the organism in Eukaryota, Viridiplantae, Streptophyta, Magnoliopsida, Malvales, Malvaceae.
GGGUGCGAUCAUACCAGCACUAAUGCACCGGAUCCCAUCAGAACUCCGUAGUUAAGCGUGCUUGGGCGAGAGUAGUACUAGGAUGGGGUGACCUCUUGGGAAGUCCUCGUGUUGCACCCG